UACAGAGGGUGCAAGCGUUAAUCGGAGUUACUGGGCGUAAAGGGCGCGUAGGCGGAUAUGUAAGUGAGAUGUGAAAUCCCUGGGCUUAACCUAGGAACUGCAUCUUAUACUGUAUGUCUAGAGUAUUGUAGAGGGUAGUGGAAUUUCCGGUGUAGCGGUGAAAUGCGUAGAGAUCGGAAGGAACACCAGUGGCGAAGGCGGCUACCUGGACAAAUACUGACGCUGAGGCGCGAGAGCGUGGGGAGCAAACAGG
Molecule: ribosomal RNA, 253 nt
Filed under: uncultured bacterium
Lineage: Bacteria
Description: partial 16S ribosomal RNA
Rfam family: Bacterial small subunit ribosomal RNA
Source: RNAcentral